Molecule: ribosomal RNA, 240 nt
Filed under: uncultured bacterium
Lineage: Bacteria
Description: partial 16S ribosomal RNA
Rfam family: Bacterial small subunit ribosomal RNA
Source: RNAcentral
UACGGAGGAUUCAAGCGUUAUCCGGAUUUAUUGGGUUUAAAGGGUGCGUAGGCGGUUCGAUAAGUUAGAGGUGAAAUCCCGGGGCUCAACUCCGGCAUUGCCUCUGAUACUGUCGGGCUAGAGUUUAGUUGCGGUAGGCGGAAUGUAUGGUGUAGCGGUGAAAUGCAUAGAGAUCAUACAGAACACCGAUUGCGAAGGCAGCUUACCAAACUACGACUGACGUUGAGGCACGAAAGCGUG